This is a long non-coding RNA of Rhododendron vialii, 2963 nucleotides long. RefSeq lists it as uncharacterized. The record is from RefSeq and is a predicted model, not a curated record. The transcript is spliced from 2 exons. Lineage: Eukaryota; Viridiplantae; Streptophyta; Magnoliopsida; Ericales; Ericaceae.
UCACUACUCACUAGUUUUCAACUUCUCUUGCGGUUUGGAAAUUUAGCAGGAUAGCAGUUCUUCGCACAGGGACAGAAGCAGGGAUUCAAGUUUGGGUGGGCAAAUAUUCAAUAGAGUUUUGUAACUUUUGGAGAGAUGAAUUUUUACUACUACAAAUUGUAAAAAUGCUUUUAAAAAGAUUGUCAUAAAUAUUUUUGAUGAACCUGUUCAAUUUCUAAGAUAUGAUCAUCUACAACUAUAAAUGCAUACAAUCUUGUGCAUCCCUAUCCAUCUUGAAAUGAAAAAUAAUAUUACAAAAAAUAAAGUGUUGCUAAAAAUAAUAAUGUUUUUAGAAAACCUCUUGGUUGGGUGGGUGUUGGAUUUUUCAAAACGAUGUUCAAUGGGUAAACUUACAUAAUUUUUGAAGUUUUUGAAAAACAAGCUACUACUAUAAUCCUAGUAAAUAUUUGGAACGUUGGUGGGGCGGUCGCCCGACUCAUCCGCCCCUCAAUCCGUCCUUGUCUUCGCAUCCAUGCAUGGUUCUCCAGGUGCAUGAAGUUAGAAUCAAACUCUUGGGUACAUCCAAGAGGAGUGUGUGUUGUAGGGGAUUAUUCCCCCUUGAUAUGUAAGUGCAGUGUGUGCACUGUGGUGUGUGGGCUGAGACAGAGAGAGGGUGAGCGAGAGUGUGAGCUGGUUGAGGCUCCUCCAACGGGGGGGAGCAGGGCUCCUCAGAGAUGCCCGGAGAGACUGUCAAAGAGCCACCGGAGUGAGGGAGAGAGAGAGGAGUGAUGGCAGCCGGGGAGGUUUUUUCAUGUAAAUUGUAUUUGUUUUGUGAAUAAUACAAUUACGGAGUUUUUCCUCAAAUAUCUCUCAUUUGUGCUUGGUUUGUUUACGUGCUUGUGCUUGGGGUGCGGAUUUGGGGGUUGGGGUCUCGACCCAACAGUUGUGUCAGAGCUGCGGUUGCAGAUUGGGAGGUCACCGGAGAAGCACAACACUUUUCGAAAAAGCAUGGAGCACCUCUCUUGCUAGGUUCUCGGUUGAGCCGUCUGAAAACUCAAUCGGACUAGUAAGGCUUGUGCACCUCAUUGAGACGAGUCUAUAGGAGGUGACGGGGUCGAGUUUCGUCACCGGAUGAAGGCUCGGGAGCCAUUCGAUCACAGCAGGCGGAGGCGGCGACGGCGGAGAGGCUGUUUUGAAAAGCCCGAGGUCGUGGAUGAUUGAAGACGAGUUUUGAGCAAUGGGUUGUAUUCACCUCGAGGAGACGAUCACGGAUUGGGGUAGCAUGUCGCCGGAGGAGCUCGGAGGUGGCGGCAAUGGCCAGUCGAAGGCAGCGGCGAGGCGACGAGGUACGUUUUUGAAAAGCCCGUACUCAUAGUUACUUGGAUUGAAGUUUGGAGCACAGGGUUAGAUGCGUCUUGAAGAGACGAUCUCGAGGGUGCUUGGAAUGUCGCCGGAGGACACCGGAAAUGGCCUCACGUGCCGGCCAAAGGUGGCGCGUGCGGGGCGAGUGAGAUCUAGUCUCACGUGUGUGCUGCACACGCUGGGAGCUUAGACGGAAAAAAGAGAGAGUAGAAAGCAUGCGUGAAGGGUCUGUGGGCACGCGUAAGAGGUUUUGGAUAAAGAGAAUGGAAAAUUAUCCCAUGUUGCAAGUUCCCUUGGAGUAGGCCACGUCAUUGUGUCAAAGUACAGUCCACACAGGUUAGAUUUGUUUUCGCGAUUUCGGAGCCGAUACUACUCUGUUUUUUGCUUAUGAGUAGUCAAUUUUGACUAUCUCAACAUUCCGGAUCCAACCGUGCGCUCCAUUUUCUGAUUGGAGGCUCCUAGGUACGUGCGAUUGCGCUAGUUGAGCAGGAAUCAGGUGUUUGAAGGCUGGUUUAGGGUUGGAAAAUGCGAGGAUGUUCUGUGGCGAUCUGUUAUGAGCUAGCAAGCAAGGAGACUUUACAUUCGAGCUUAGUAUCCCGGUUGGGGUGUUGGAUUGCUCGUCUGGUAAUUGACACAGGCGCUUGCUAUAAGUAAUAGUUCGGUUUGGAGAUGCUGGGAAGCCAGGAAUUGGAACGGGAAUGGAUGAGUGGCAGAGAAAAGAUCCGGAAAGAGCUGAUGGUGGGUGGCAAGAGGCUCGGGAAAGUGGCGGAAAAGGACGAUUGAUAGAGCAGACUUGUAGGGAUCAGAGGUUGAUCAGGGCAAACAUGCGCGGAGCUAGUGAGCAAGGAGACACUCACUUGAGUAUUGUAUCCCGGUUGGGGGUGCAGAUGAGCUUGGGUUGGCAGUGACACAGAUGCUCACUAUAGCGAUGGUUUGCGGAUAUGAUUGAUGAUGAUCGGAGGCAGUCUAGUUCAAUCGGAAGACCUAUCAUCGGGAGUUGCAGUUGUGAUUUGGGAUGCAUGAGGAGAAUGAUAAGAUCAUGGAUUAUGUUUUGUGAUUAGGCACGGGUGUUCGAGAUCAGACACAGCUACCGAGCACAUCAAGGAUACAUUUAGGGGAAUGACACAGGCGCUGUGAACGGAUGGUGGUGGCAGUAGAAGCGGUGCUACUUCAAUGAUUGAUCCGGUGAAUAGGUAAGUCCCUGAUGACUAAACGUUUACGCGGUGAGGGGGUGUGAGGCACUCCGGUUGAGGGGGUGUAGGUUUAGCCACGACAAAUCUAGUCUUGCAAGGAGACACUCGGUCAGUUGGUAUAUACACUUCCAGUGCUAGGGUGGUGAGACUUCUGAUGGUUAGUAGUGACACAGGCGCUUGGCUAGAUUAGAGUGGUUGAACGGAUCAACAAUUGUCCCACUUGGGUGUAGGGGGUGAUUCUUGGGUACACCCAAGAGAAGUGUGUGUUGUAGGGGAUUAUUCCCCCUUGAUAUGUAAGUGCAGUGUGUGCACUGUGGUGUGUGGGCUGAGACAGAGAGAGGGUGAGGGAGAGUGUGAGCCGGUUGAGGCUCCCCUAACGGGGGGAGCGGGGCUCCUCGAAGAUGCCCGGAGAGACUGUCAGAGAGCCAC